AGCCCCCUCAGGAGGAUGUGUUGGUUUUUUUUCAGUUGUUAAGAGCUCCAGACCUUCCAGCCCAGCUUUCCUGAUCCCAUUUGGAGAUCCCACUCUCCAGAGACACAGAUCCCCCUCUCCUGCUGCAGCCAGGAAGGAGAGAGAAUCCCAGAAUCCUAGAAUGUCAGGUCGGAAGGGAUCUCAAGGAUCAUUUGGUUCAACCCUUCUGAUGUUCAUACGAGAUGCCUCAGGAACUUUGGCACUUCCUACCAGAUUUGAUUUUUUGCUUCCAGUCACUGGAACUUGGAGCUGCCCAGUCAUCUAUCUGCUCUGAUGUGUCACCACCCUCACCAA
Long non-coding RNA from Calypte anna (Anna's hummingbird), 333 nucleotides. RefSeq lists it as uncharacterized. The transcript has 3 exons. The record is from RefSeq and is a predicted model, not a curated record. NCBI's taxonomy places the organism in Eukaryota, Metazoa, Chordata, Aves, Apodiformes, Trochilidae.